This 73-nucleotide transfer RNA is filed under the name Cricetulus griseus (Chinese hamster). It matches the Rfam family "tRNA". Rfam says of the family: Transfer RNA (tRNA) molecules are approximately 80 nucleotides in length. Their secondary structure includes four short double-helical elements and three loops (D, anti-codon, and T loops). The record is from Rfam by way of RNAcentral. Lineage: Eukaryota; Metazoa; Chordata; Mammalia; Rodentia; Cricetidae.
GGUGAUGUAACUUAAUUGGUAAAGUGUUUGUCUGGCAUACACAAGGCCCUGGGUUUGAUCCCUGGCACUACAU